GAUGAACGCUGGCGGCGUGCUUAACACAUGCAAGUCGAACGGAAAGGCCCUGCUUUUGUGGGGUGCUCGAGUGGCGAACGGGUGAGUAACACGUGAGUAACCUGCCCUUGACUUUGGGAUAACUUCAGGAAACUGGGGCUAAUACCGGAUAGGAGCUCCUGCUGCAUGGUGGGGGUUGGAAAGAUUCGGCGGUUGGGGAUGGUUUCGCGGCUUAUCAGCUUGUUGGUGGGGUAGUUGCUUACCAAGGCUUUGACGGGUAGCCGGCCUGAGAGGGUGACCGGGCACAAUGGGACUGAGAUACGCCCCAGCCUCCAACGGGAGGCAGCAGUGGAGAAUAUGGCACAAUGGGCGGAAGCCUGAUGCAGAAACGCCGCGUGCGGGAUGACGGCCUUCGAGUUGUAAACCGCUUUCGACUGUGACGAAGCGGGAGUGACGGUAAUGAGUAAAGAAGCAACGGCUAACUACGUG
Molecule: ribosomal RNA, 468 nt
Filed under: uncultured bacterium
Lineage: Bacteria
Description: partial 16S ribosomal RNA
Rfam family: Bacterial small subunit ribosomal RNA
Source: RNAcentral